This 253-nucleotide ribosomal RNA is filed under the name uncultured bacterium. RNAcentral's name for it is "partial 16S ribosomal RNA". It matches the Rfam family "Bacterial small subunit ribosomal RNA", at positions 524 to 776 of the family's 1533-position model. The record is from RNAcentral.
UACGGGGGGGGCAAGCGUUGUUCGGAGUUACUGGGCGUAAAGGGCUCGUAGGUGGCCAACUAAGUCAGACGUGAAAUCCCCAGGCUCAACUUGGGAACUGCGUCUGAUACUGGAUGGCUUGAAUUCGGGAGAGGGAUGCAGAAUUCCAGGUGUAGCGGUGAAAUGCGUAGAUAUCUGGAGGAAUACCGGUGGCGAAGGCGGCAUCCUGGACCGAUAUUGACACUGAUGAGCGAAAGCCAGGGGAGCAAACGGG